GACGAACGCUGGCGGCGUGCCUAAUACAUGCAAGUAGAACGCUGAAGAGAGGAGCUUGCUCUUCUUGGAUGAGUUGCGAACGGGUGAGUAACGCGUAGGUAACCUGCCUUGUAGCGGGGGAUAACUAUUGGAAACGAUAGCUAAUACCGCAUAACAAUGGAUGACACAUGUCAUUUAUUUGAAAGGGGCAAUUGCUCCACUACAAGAUGGACCUGCGUUGUAUUAGCUAGUAGGUGAGGUAACGGCUCACCUAGGCGACGAUACAUAGCCGACCUGAGAGGGUGAUCGGCCACACUGGGACUGGGACACGGCCCAGACUCCUACGGGAGGCAGCAGUAGGGAAUCUUCGGCAAUGGGGGCAACCCUGACCGAGCAACGCCGCGGGAGUGAAGAAGGGUGUCGGAUCGGAAAGCUCUGUUGUAAGUCAAGAACGAGUGUGAGAGUGGAAAGUUCACACUGUGACGGUAGCUUACCAGAAAGGGACGGCUAACUACGUG
Molecule: ribosomal RNA, 497 nt
Filed under: uncultured bacterium
Lineage: Bacteria
Description: partial 16S ribosomal RNA
Rfam family: Bacterial small subunit ribosomal RNA
Source: RNAcentral